Molecule: ribosomal RNA, 331 nt
Filed under: bacterium ocnta359lb422onnp9.24
Lineage: Bacteria
Description: bacterial SSU rRNA
Rfam family: Bacterial small subunit ribosomal RNA
Source: RNAcentral
UACACAUGCAGUCGAACGGUAGCACAGAGGAGCUUGCUCUUGGGGUGACGAGUGGCGGACGGGUGAGUAAUGUCUGGGAAACUGCCCGAUGGAGGGGGAUAACUACUGGAAACGGUAGCUAAUACCGCAUAACGUCGCAAGACAAAGAGGGGGACCUUCGGGCCUCUUGCCAUCGGAUGUGCCCAGAUGGGAUUAGCUAGUAGGUGGGGUAACGGCUCACCUAGGCGACGAUCCCUAGCUGGUCUGAGAGGAUGACCAGCCACACUGGAACUGAGACACGGUCCAGACUCCUACGGGAGGCAGCAGUGGGGAAUAUUGCACAAUGGGCGCA